UCCCUCCCUAGUAUUUUUUUUGUCUUAAAUGAAGGACAAUGAUAGCUAUCUUGCAGUCAGAAUUUUGCUUUUUUAAGAGGUCACUUUCCCUUGCCUAAAAAGGCAUCCCAAUUAAAAGUGGCACUGAUUAUUUCCAUUGUCUUAAGCUACUGACUGAGACAAACGUGAUUAGGGAAAAAAAAUUAGAUCUGGCAGGACUCCGAUUUGGUGAAACUUCCUGUGAAUGUUGUACAUACUGCUUCUGUUCUUAUAGAUUCUUCUAUAGACGCAGUAUCUGAUAGAUUCUAGCAGGAUGCUGGAAGAAAGUGGGGAACCAGAUUUUUUUUUUUUUUGCUAUUACUUUUGGAAAGUGUGAUCUGUCACACAUAGUAUUUGGUUUCUUAAGCUGUUUUGUAGACCCUAUAAUGAAAUCUACAUUUUGUAUGUAUGUUUUACAUGAUAGAAAGUGAGGCUGGAAUAAAUAUGUCAGAAAAUAUACACCCACUGGGACCUGAGAAAAUCUGGAGUAAGCAAAGCCAUUCUCAGAGUGCUCAAGUGUGAGCCUAGGACUGCUUCCAUGUAUUUUUGGUUCAUCAGUACUAGAAAUUAGAUGCUUCCAAGGCUUUACACUGGAGACAGAAUAUACUAAAAUCAAAUCCCAGUUGAUUGUCCCAGAGACCAAGGGCUGUCCGAAUAGCACUUUCUUUACUUAAAUAACUCAGUAGGGAAAAUGGGAAAGUUAAUAAAGCUGACUGUGAAUGGACCAACCAGUUGAAUGACAGGUUGGUUCAGUCAAAGCAACAAAUCUCAAACAGCCCUAGCUAGACCAUGGGUGUGGGCACUGCUCACAACCACAGGCAUUUGUUUUUCUGGCCAUUCCCAGAAUCCAUCCAGUUCACAGUUCUGCCACCAGCAAAAGCUCUUUAUGUAGUUUCAGCAGGGUAUGGCCCUCCUUCUGAUGACAGCACGAAAUAAUGAGAGACAGCCCACUAAUUUUGUAGACUUAGAUUUCUUCCCUGUGCAGUGGUAGCUUUCUAAAUGCAGUGGUUCUGACCUUACAUGGCAGUCCUCACACUGUCCUGACAUUUUCUCUUCCACCAAUUCUAUACACAGAACAUGUAUUAUUAUUUGGAUUCAGACAUCCUGUGGGUCGGCUUUGUCUUCACGAUUCUUCAAUAGAGACAGCACACUCUAGCAGAUGUCAGCACCCACAUAACAAAGGACUCCCACUGCCACUCAGUCUGGCAAAGCAUACAAUAUACAAUGAGCCAUUUAUACACUGUUUCCUGCACCUAAAAUGGCUGUGUUUUAGGAAGCAGCUCACUGGCUUUUCAGUAGAUAUUAUGGGGCAGAGUUGCUUUGUAACCAAGAAAAAUUCCCUUCAAUGACUUAUAAAAUGUGAUGGCAUUUUACAAAAAGAAUAUUCUACAUGACGUGAGCUGAAAAAUUCUUGGCUAAGAGUAGUUAAUGUACACAGUGGUUAAGACCUGUGGUGUUAGAGCUGGACAGAUGUGCGUUUAAAUUCUGGAUACUCUACCUGUGGUCCUCUGUCAGGUCUUGUUAGUCCUUUGGAGACUUAGAAAAGCUGAGGAAGAACCACCUAGUUCACCCUAUCCCCCAGGUAAUAGAACCUGACUUUAUUCACAUCUGGGUAAAAGAAGUCAAGCUUGGUAUGGGAGAAGAAGCGGAAUAUAGGCACGUAUUGUAAAUAGACAUCUGACUAUUAGGCCCAGACUCUGACGCUCAGAGUGGGCAAAACCAGGAGCUGUCACGGAAUGGGCUCUGCGUUGGGGCCCAGUUUCAAGAAGGCCUCAGAACAACUUUGGAAGAUGAAUUGAUCCUGUUGCAUGAGCCUGGAAGCCUUGUUAAGUCACUUGACCUCCAGUCAGGUCAGCGUAUGGUUAGCUACCCGGACACAUCUUUCUACCAGACACUCUGGCCUUCAGAUUCCAGAGGAGCCAGUGGGCAGGGGUGUCUGUUUUUCACUGACAUUUGCAGGGUGGGUACACCUCUAGAGAGAAGGUCACAUCUCUUGCCAGGAAAUGCAGAGUCUGAGCAAUCGAGGGAAAGGCAGAGGUUAGCUCAACUUCAUCUGCCAUGUGGACCCCCAUGCUGAGCUGAAGAGUGUUCUGGUUAGAAGCAGAUUGUGGGUGGCCAAUGCCUUGCCUAUGGAACUAUAUCAUGGUUAAUUCUGGAUCAUCAGGAAAUCUAAUGAAUUUGACCUGAUUCAAUAAUGUCUUUCACUCAGUAAUCUGAUCACUUCUGUUCCAGGAGUAGCCUUCCUCAGUCUGCCCUAAUCUAAUGGUACGAAAACAGGCAUGUUUAAUUUUAGCCUAUUGCAAAAGAAGACCCAGGGCAGUAGACUGCAUCUACCUUAUGCUUGUUUUUGGAAGGAAAUUUACACUGGCCACGGUCAAUACUCAGCGUGUGACAAUGGUCACUGUCAAGGCCUGUAGGCCCACGCUGGAGAGAGCCUGGCACCUCACAAUGCAAUCCAAUCACUCCAGCUUGUCACAUAUUCAGAAGUUCAGAAAGCUCAGCAGUGACAGGUUUAUUUUUCAGAAACGCUGAGCUACAAAUUACUAAUAUAUCAGGCAGCCAGAAUCACUGGGCUGACUGCAGGUCUGAUUACCAUGGGUAACUGACACUAAGCCAUUCUGGGAGAUCCUCUCCCUUAAAUAGUUACAUUUCAGUGCUGCUGAAAUUCCGUGACCAAUCAGAUGCAGACAAUAGGUAGGGGCUUCUGAUUAGCACUCUGAUUUCCAGCUGUGCUCGAAGUGACUCAGGAGAUCAGUGGAAAAGUAGUUCAGUCACCCCAAAAUGAUAGGUUCCUACUCCUUGUUCCAUUCUCUAUCCCUGGAAAGCCACCAUGGCCCUUCCAAGGCAUUGAAUGUGGCACACUGAGAAUUACAGCAGCCCAGUGCUUUUCAAAGCACAACUGCCUGGGUCAAACAAAGAAACAAAAAAUAAGACUCUAAGGUCACUGCAUUGCUCCCCAAGUGCCCUUGAGACUGAAUCACCCUGGACUUCAUAUCAGAUUUCUCCCUGUUCUGGGGCCACCAAACAAUUCUGAUGGUGGUGGCUAUCCUUAUCAAAACAGUAAAUGUCAUUCCCCAACUGCUUAAACUAUGCUUUAUUUAUCAGUGAGGUGGUAGCCUACCUCAGGAUCACUUUUAUAGUAAUUUCCAUGGUCUUACUAUUUAAAGGAAUGUUUCCAGAAGUAUCUACAUCUGAAUUCACCUGUCUACUGCUAUUACCUAGCCAGGGAUAGUAAGAAAGACACUUUUGGUUGGAAUUUCUCUGGUGUCACAAAAUACAUAGGCAUUAUGACUUGUUCUGCCUACCUUGUAACUGCAAAAUUCACACAGUAUUUUUCCACACGGAAUACCCUCUUCUAUAAUGACUACUGCCACCCUCUUUAUUUCACUGCUAAGAUUGAUACCUCAAAGAGGUAUAAGCCACCCCCAAAAAGCUUAGAGGUGACAUUGAUCAAUGUGUCAAAGACUACUAUAGGCCCACUGUACCAAAUAAUAUGGCUAAGUCCUGACACCGGACAGGGGUGGUGGUGUGGGGGGUGUCUUUUAGGUGGGAGAGUUUAUGGUUCUCAGUCCUACAUAUCUGAGCCAAAUUAAAAUUUAAACACUUUCUUGGAUCCAUUCAAGUUUUCAAGAUCACAAACCCCAUUGUGUUCUUCCUAUAUUUAUCUGUUAAGACAUAGCUUUAAAACAUUUUUUUUUUCUUUUGAGUCAGAGUCUCACUCUGUCACCCAGGCUGGAGUGCAGUGGCA
Molecule: long non-coding RNA, 3766 nt
Filed under: Homo sapiens (human)
Lineage: Eukaryota; Metazoa; Chordata; Mammalia; Primates; Hominidae
Description: HSALNT0326018
Source: RNAcentral